CACGUAAGGGGCAAGCGUUGUUCGGAAUUAUUGGGCGUAAAGGGCGUGUAGGCGGUUUCGAAAGCCUGGUGUUAAAAACCACAGCUUAACUGUGGAAGAGCGCUGGGAACUGCGAGACUAGAGUUUAGGAGGGGAAGCUGGAAUUCCAGGUGUAGGGGUGAAAUCUGUAGAUAUCUGGAAGAACACCGGUGGCGAAGGCGAGCUUCUGGCCAUAAACUGACGCUGAGGCGCGAAAGCGUGGGGAG
Molecule: ribosomal RNA, 245 nt
Filed under: uncultured Spirochaeta sp.
Lineage: Bacteria; Pseudomonadati; Spirochaetota; Spirochaetia; Spirochaetales; Spirochaetaceae
Description: partial 16S ribosomal RNA
Rfam family: Bacterial small subunit ribosomal RNA
Source: RNAcentral